This is a non-coding RNA of Paramisgurnus dabryanus, 1081 nucleotides long. The record is from RefSeq and is a predicted model, not a curated record. Lineage: Eukaryota; Metazoa; Chordata; Actinopteri; Cypriniformes; Cobitidae.
CGUGGCAGCCGAGACAUGCAGCCUUCUAGGACGGAGCCUUAUUUAAAAAAAAUAAUAAUAAUAAGGACGGAGCCUUAUUUAUUUUUAUUUUAUAUAUGUAUAAUGUCCCCCUUUGUAUUUCUUAUUAUUUAAAAAAAAUAUUAAAAAUAAUUUUAAAAGGACGCAGCUGUGCGUUUGAGAAACGACCGGAAACGACUUAUAUGUCGCGAGGCCAUCACGUGACCACAAUAUUUACCAGAAGACCGUUAUUUGCUCGAGUACCCUCAACUUUUUUGUCGCAAAUAACAUUAUUAAUAACCUGUAAAUAAUAAAUUUUGUACACAUUACGUUCCUCUUCACUUUGUAAUAGUAUGUUUUUUGGUUUAAUAGUCGGCUUUAAGUUAGUUUUCCUGUCAGUUUGAUCGUCAAAAUCUUGAAAGUUAUCUGCAGCCACACAUCCACUGUAUACCAAGUUAUGAUGAACAAUUAUGAAAAUGCAAAAGGAUUGAUAGAUCAGUAAACAAGCAACAAAAAGAUGGGUGCUCAUGGUGGCCUCCAAAUAAAUACAUGGACAGGCUGCUAAAGAGGGUCAGGAUGAUGGAGAUGCAAGAGCCAAAGACAGCACAGACCAAACACCAGGCCAGAAUUCUGCAUGAGUCAGAUUGAGUAAUUUUCACUCUAGAGACCCUUGGGUGACCACCAAGGACGAAUGCAAACUCCAGUGAGUGUCUCUAAGGUAGAUCCUAAUGCAGAUGGAUGGAAUGUUGAUCCGCCUAACAUGCAAGCUACAGAGGGCAUCCUUUAUUCAGUCCCUAAUGCAGAUGGUUGGAGUGUUGAUCUACCUAACAUGAGGGAGCACUCGUUUUGAGUCCUGAGACCCUGGGGUGACCACCGUGAACAAAUACAGAAGCACUCAAUUUGAGUCCUGAGACCCUGGGGUGACCACCGUGAACAAAUACAGACUGCAAUAGCAGUCUUGACGGUACUAGGAUGAAUGCAAAUAAAGACUAACCACCUGACAUCAGCUGUCCAGUCUCUUGUGGGAAGCAGGUGCUUGUUACCCCAAAUACGGAUGAAGAGUGACGAAGAGGAUGAUGACUUU